CGGCAGGCUUAACACAUGCAAGUCGAGCGGUAACAGGGGAAGCUUGCUUCCCGCUGACGAGCGGCGGACGGGUGAGUAAUGCUUAGGGAAUCUGCCCAGUAGUGGGGGAUAGCCCGGGGAAACCCGGAUUAAUACCGCAUACGUCCUACGGGAGAAAGCAGGGGAUCUUCGGACCUUGCGCUAUUGGAUGAGCCUAAGUCGGAUUAGCUAGUUGGUGGGGUAAAGGCCUACCAAGGCGACGAUCCGUAGCUGGUCUGAGAGGAUGAUCAGCCACAUCGGGACUGAGACACGGCCCGAACUCCUACGGGAGGCAGCAGUGGGGAAUAUUGGACAAUGGGGGCAACCCUGAUCCAGCCAUGCCGCGUGUGUGAAGAAGGCUUUCGGGUUGUAAAGCACUUUCAGUAGGGAGGAAAACCUUAUGGUUAAUACCCAUGAGGCUUGACGUUACCUACAGAAGAAGCACCGGCUAACUC
Molecule: ribosomal RNA, 473 nt
Filed under: Marinobacter sp. HS9
Lineage: Bacteria; Pseudomonadati; Pseudomonadota; Gammaproteobacteria; Pseudomonadales; Marinobacteraceae
Description: bacterial SSU rRNA
Rfam family: Bacterial small subunit ribosomal RNA
Source: RNAcentral